GACGAACGCUGGCGGCGUGCUUAACACAUGCAAGUCGAACGGAAAGGCCCUGCUUUUGUGGGGUGCUCGAGUGGCGAACGGGUGAGUAACACGUGAGUAACCUGCCCUUGACUUUGGGAUAACUUCAGGAAACUGGGGCUAAUACCGUAUAGGAGCUCCUGCUGCAUUGUGGGGGUGGGAAAGUUUCGGCGGUUGGGGUUGGACUCGCGGCUUAUCAGCUUGUUGGUGGGGUAGUGGCUUACCAAGGCUUUGACGGGUAGCCGGCCUGGGAGGGUGACCGGCCACAUUGGGACUGAGAUACGGCCCAGACUCCUACGGGAGGCAGCAGUGGGGAAUAUUGCACAAUGGGCGGAAGCCUGAUGCAGCAACGCCGCGUGCGGGAUGACGGCCUUCGGGUUGUAAACCGCUUUCGCCUGUGACGAAGCGUGAGUGACGGUAAUGGGUAAAGAAGCACCGGCUAACUACGUG
Molecule: ribosomal RNA, 468 nt
Filed under: uncultured bacterium
Lineage: Bacteria
Description: partial 16S ribosomal RNA
Rfam family: Bacterial small subunit ribosomal RNA
Source: RNAcentral